RNAcentral lists this ribosomal RNA (1064 nucleotides) under marine metagenome. RNAcentral describes it as "bacterial SSU rRNA". It matches the Rfam family "Bacterial small subunit ribosomal RNA", at positions 8 to 1116 of the family's 1533-position model. The record is from RNAcentral.
AGAGUUUGAUCAUGGCUCAGAACGUACGCUGGCGGCACGCCUAACACAUGCAAGUCGAACGAAGUAGUAAUACUUAGUGGCAGACGGGUGAGUAACAUGUGGGUAUCUGCCCUUUGGCCUGGAAUAACACGAGGAAACUUGUGCUAAUACCGGAUAAGUCUUUACGGAGAAAGCUUUAUGCACCAUUGGAUGAGCCCGCACUUGAUUAGUUUGUUGGUGGGGUAAUGGCCUACCAAGACUGUGAUCAAUAGCUGAUUUGAGAGGAUGAUCAGCCACAUUGGGACUGAGACACGGCCCAAACUCCUACGGGAGGCAGCAGUGGGGAAUCUUGCACAAUGGAGGAAACUCUGAUGCAGCGAUGCCGCGUGAGUGAAGAAGGCCUUUGGGUUGUAAAGCUCUUUCGUCGGGGAAGAAAAUGACUGUACCCGAAUAAGAAGGUCCGGCUAACUUCGUGCCAGCAGCCGCGGUAAUACGAAGGGACCUAGCGUAGUUCGGAAUUACUGGGCUUAAAGAGUUCGUAGGUGGUUGAAAAAGUUGGUGGUGAAAUCCCAGAGCUUAACUCUGGAACUGCCAUCAAAACUUUUCAGCUAGAGUAUGAUAGAGGAAAGCAGAAUUUCUAGUGUAGAGGUGAAAUUCGUAGAUAUUAGAAAGAAUACCAAUUGCGAAGGCAGCUUUCUGGAUCAUUACUGACACUGAGGAACGAAAGCAUGGGUAGCGAAGAGGAUUAGAUACCCUCGUAGUCCAUGCCGUAAACGAUGUGUGUUAGACGUUGGAAAUUUAUUUUCAGUGUCGCAGCGAAAGCGAUAAACACACCGCCUGGGGAGUACGACCGCAAGGUUAAAACUCAAAUGAAUUGACGGGGACCCGCACAAGUAGUGGAGCAUGUGGUUUAAUUCGAAGAUACGCGCAGAACCUUACCAACACUUGACAUGUUCGUCGCGACUUUAAGAGAUUAAAGUUUUCGGUUCGGCCGGACGAAACACAGGUGCUGCAUGGCUGUCGUCAGCUCGUGUCGUGAGAUGUUGGGUUAAGUCCCGCAACGAGCGCAACCCUCACUUUUAGUG